RNAcentral lists this non-coding RNA (26 nucleotides) under Drosophila melanogaster (fruit fly). Lineage: Eukaryota; Metazoa; Arthropoda; Insecta; Diptera; Drosophilidae. The record is from RNAcentral.
UCAUACGAUAUUCCUUUCCUUUGGAU